Long non-coding RNA from Xyrauchen texanus (razorback sucker), 2716 nucleotides. RefSeq lists it as uncharacterized. The transcript has 4 exons. The record is from RefSeq and is a predicted model, not a curated record. Lineage: Eukaryota; Metazoa; Chordata; Actinopteri; Cypriniformes; Catostomidae.
UAGAAUAUGAUAUCUAUAAAAAAAUGUUUGUUUUGUACACUGUGUUGUUCAAACGUAUGUAAGCGUCUCGUUAGUGUCGUUUUAAGUAGGGUAGUUUCAGCUGGCUAACUAGCAGUAGUUAGCAUCAUGCGAAACCAUGAUUUUGAUGUCUUUGUGCCACAAAGUCACCUGAAAGAAGCUGCUGGUGUGCUGAAAGGUGUGUGUCUUCCAGGUUGGUCAUUUCAGCUCAAUAUGCCGUCAAAUACCUGGCAUAAUUUACUUUGUCACAGGCAAAAAACCAGGGCAGCAUACUUUGCACAGUGGACAAAUGGAGAGCCCAGUUCCCCUCUCUUGUUGCCCUUAUGAAAAGAAGCAAAUCCUCCAUGUCAAGUGUGUCCAAGUAUGCCCACCAGCGCAGUUUCUGGAGUGCUUUCAUCAGGAGUUUGUGAGCCCGUAUGCUCCUGUUGUAGUGAUUGCCGGUGAUCACUCCAUCGAUUGAGCCUGCUGCCACCAGGUCAGACUCGAUCAAGAUGUCCUGAAAGCCAGCAUCACCAUACAACUUUCCUAUGCAUGAAAGAUAUGCCAUUGCUGUGUGGAACUCUCCCAUCCUCACUACAAUUCUCUCAGACUGUCAGCAAUGGCAAUUGAGCGGCUCAGGAUGGUGUGGACAGUGUUGAGAUCAGUCGGGCUGGCGUCAAUCACUGGCAGGUUGAAAGAUUCAGUGGAGGAGGAUGAACAGACCAUUCUCGUGUUCUCUGUCUGGGUAAUGUGUCUGGUAAGGGUGCUGUAUAACUGUUUAUGGCCCUCUGAAUUAUUAUACCAUUGGUGUUAUGUGUUGUCCCUUUACCUGAAAGAGUUUCCUCUCAAGUCAUUAUUAUCCCAGACAAGAGUCACAGGCACUUCAGCACUGAUGUUUUCAGGGAUGUAUAUUUCUCCUCUCUCCAUUUGUAGGUGAGCAAGGGCAGUAUCAUGCUCAAGGACCUGGGAAUUGGAUGAGCAGUGACCCAGACCAUUUAACAACCCUAUAAGCUGUGCAGAGCCAGUCAUCUGCCGAACUGCCAUUGCAAGUGAGCACUGUUUUGGCAUGAGCCACCGUCCUCUGGUUGCCAAGGUAAUAAUGUCCUGACAAGUGGACACUAUCUUUCUGCUGUCCUCUGAAGUGACAUCAACACGUUCAUCUGAUGGUUGUAAUGACAUUUCCUGAUGUCCAUGCAAUAAAGUUAAAAAGUUGGUGAGGCACUACACUCAGGGCAUUUUCCAGUGUGAUGUCACCUGCUGUGGGAGGCCAUGGAAGCUUUGGUGAUCUUUUUGAUGUCUUUUCUAUGAUUUCUUUGAGUAUCAUUGCUGCAUGAUAUAACACCCGAGAAUCAUUUGUGUUGGUGGCAUUUUCAGUAGCUUCUUGACCUCUCAUUUCUCCUUCACUUUCUUCAGAUGAGGAGGAAGCAGAGGAGACAGCAACUUCAUGCACAAUCUGACAGAUUGUCCACAUAUACAAGAUAGGUUGUGGAUGCCUUCAGGAAUUUCAAGAAGGGAUGAGACUUUUGAAGUCUUGCCUUAAGUGAAUGUGCCUUAUAAGCUGCAAUGUUCACUCCCUCUGUUUCUUCCACAGUUUUUUUGAAUAGCAAAUUCAGCUUUGACAGUUGAAGCACUUUGGUGUUUUAAAAGCCUCUCCUCAAUGACUGUUUUGCAGAAGUGCUUGUAUCCAUUUUCAUAUAUGUUUGUUUCUGUUCUCUCAUUUUUUUUGUGUGGUCAGGUACCGGGUAUAAUCUCGAUAGCAGGUGAAGUGAUACCGUGCUUCACUAGCCACCAAGUCCCUGUCUUGGAUAUGGAGAAGGAGAGACUCAUCCCUUCUCCCUUCAGCGGCGAGAAGCAAUUUCCUGGCAUGGAGUGUUUCACACUGUAUUAGUUUUUCUUUUACCCUUUUCCUGCUGUGUGUCUGAACCUUGUACUUCUCAUGUUUGCAAAUAAUGCAUUGUACUGGAAGCAGGUGUGGGGCCUGCUUGGACGUGACGAGAUCACUGGCAUUAGACCUCAGAGCCCGUGUUUUUACUGGAAUUGCCUCACCAUCCUCUGCCUCUACCACUAAAAAAAAGUGCAAAACAAUAGAUUGAGGUUCUGCACCCUUCCCCACAUCACUGAUUAAAGAAAAAUGGUUUGUAACUUUAAGCAGGGGAAAACUCAUGCUCCAUAUAUUGGUUUCACCUGUUCCCUUAACAUGGUUAAUAAACCAGUUUCACAGUGUUCAGGUGUCUGGCCUUGUUGAUGUUAAUAAUGACAUAUUUGGAAUGGUACAUUUUUGCAGGAUGUUUUUAUUAUAUUACGGUUAAUACACUGUAUAUAACUAUAUUAUUUGUACUGUUAUGUGCAGUGUAGUAGCAGUAACUGUAUGUGUUCAUACUGCAUAUCCACUUCUAUUAUGCACAUUUAUGUAAUUUAUAUUACUGUAAAACAUGGUACUUUCUUAAAUGUAUACUACUGUCUACACUGUACCGAAUGUCUUAAACUGCACCACCUAUCUAUACAAUAUAAUACCAACCUUCAUUUGCAGUUUCUUCAACUAAUACUGCCUUCUCUCUAGAUGAAUACUGUCUUCUAAAUUUAGGCUAUUUUAACGUUGUAUCCUAUGGUUUUUAUAAUGUGUUUCCAAGCAAUACCAUGGAUCAAAUGUGUGAAAUCAGAACGGUAUAUUUAUUAAAGAUUACAACGAAAUGACAAGACAUCGUAUGACAAAAGAUGG